AGCAGCCGCGGUAAUUCCAGCUCCAAUAGCGUAUAUUAAAGUUGUUGCAGUUAAAAAGCUCGUAGUUGAAUUUCGGGAUCAAAUUGUCGGUCGUGCCUCGGUACGCACUGGUAUUAUUGGUUCCUACCUUCUGAAGAACCGUGAUGUCAUUAAUUUGGUGUCGUGGGGAAUCAGGACUGUUACUUUGAAAAAAUUAGAGUGUUUAAAGCAGGCUUACGCUUGAAUACAUUAGCAUGGAAUAAUGAAAUAGGACGUUUGAUUCUAUUUUGUUGGUUUCUAGGAUUGACGUAAUGAUUAAUAGGGAUAGUUGGGGGCAUUAGUAUUCAAUUGCCAGAGGUGAAAUUCUUGGAUUUAUUGAAGACUAACUACUGCGAAAGCAUUUGCCAAGGAUGUUUUCAUUAAUCAAGAACGAAAGUUAGGGGAUCGAAGACGAUCAGAUACCGUCGUAGUCUUAACCAUAAACUAUGCCGACUAGGGAUCGGAUGAUGUUAAUUUUUUAAUGACUCA
This 507-nucleotide ribosomal RNA is filed under the name uncultured Glomus. RNAcentral describes it as "SSU rRNA". It matches the Rfam family "Eukaryotic small subunit ribosomal RNA", at positions 569 to 1078 of the family's 1831-position model. The record is from RNAcentral. Lineage: Eukaryota; Fungi; Glomeromycota; Glomeromycetes; Glomerales; Glomeraceae.